UACGAAGGGGGCGAGCGUUGUUCGGAAUUACUGGGCGGAAAGGGCGCGUAGGCGGCGAACCAAGUCAGAUGUGAAAGUCCUGGGCUUAACCUGGGGACUGCAUUUGAUACUGGUUUGCUUGAAUUCGGGAGAGGAUAGCGGAAUUCCCAGUGUAGAGGUGAAAUUCGUAGAUAUUGGGAAGAACACCGGUGGCGAAGGCAAUCCCCUGGGCCUGCACUGACGCUCAUGCACGAAAGCGUGGGGAGCAAACAGG
Molecule: ribosomal RNA, 253 nt
Filed under: uncultured bacterium
Lineage: Bacteria
Description: partial 16S ribosomal RNA
Rfam family: Bacterial small subunit ribosomal RNA
Source: RNAcentral